GUCUUCCUCCAGCCUGACCAGCUCUCUGCUCCGUGAUGCUCGAAGGCCACUUCCCCCAGCCUCCUCUAAGUCUGCAGGGGUCGAGAAACUGGAAAUGGUGAUGCAGACCUUGAUUUACGGAAAGGGAAACAUAUUCCAAAAACUAUGCUGAGGUAACUGAUGAACAACUGAUCUCCUAAUCACAAAGUACAUGAUCUCAGAUAGUCCUCAGCAUCUUCGACUUAACUGGCUUUUGAGACUGUGAAGACUGGAACUCUUUUCUUGACUUCUGAGACAUCUGUCCCUAGCCCAG
Molecule: long non-coding RNA, 292 nt
Filed under: Fukomys damarensis (Damara mole-rat)
Lineage: Eukaryota; Metazoa; Chordata; Mammalia; Rodentia; Bathyergidae
Description: lncRNA (ENSFDAG00000029315.1)
Source: RNAcentral